AGGGGCAAGACCCUGCAGACAGGAACCUCUGGUUUUGCUCCCAGCAGAAUCAACAGCACACCCCAGCCUUAACUGUAGAUAAUACCCAAUGCCUCUGGGGAGGCUUAAAAACACCCCAA
Gavialis gangeticus (Gharial) is the source of this 119-nucleotide long non-coding RNA. RefSeq lists it as uncharacterized. NCBI's taxonomy places the organism in Eukaryota, Metazoa, Chordata, Crocodylia, Gavialidae. The transcript has 4 exons. The record is from RefSeq and is a predicted model, not a curated record.